GGCUGCAGCGGCAGGGGUGCUGAUGGCCUCGGCUUCUCUGACGUCUUUCUGAGGCAAAACGAACCGUCUGCUGCGUGAGCCUGGUAGCACAUGGCCUUUGGGGACACGAAGGGGCCCGGUCCCAAAGGCUGCUGAGCGUUGUUAAUCUGUUCAUUGCCCGCUGCAGAGCUCUGGGAGGGGUCCAAGAACAGCCAGGGCCUCUUCCCCCCAGCAUGUGGGGACCCUGAGCCCCCGGUGCCGCUGCCAGCCCAGCCCUGCGAAAGCUGGGGCGCGGCGACGAUCCCGGCUUUGCUCCCCACCGCUUCGUGGGGAGGGAAGCCCGCGGCUGGGCUGCUCGGGCGUUACACGGGGGUGGUUUAGCUGCCAGUCGUCAUUUUACAACGCGCGUGGAGCCGCCUGGCAUUGUUUGCUGGCUUCCUUGCGGGUAAUGCCGCAGCCGCACGGGGAAUAACGGAGAGGUGCGCUGGGGCCGGGGCAGGCCCUGCCGGCGGUGCCGUGAGUUCCUUACCCUGCAUAGGGCACGAAACAGGAUGCCAAAAGAGCGAGAGGGGAGGAGAUGUGUGUUUGGGUCUGUGCUGCCACUCCAGGAUACAGAUGCGUGCUUCCUGCAGGAAGAAAUUGGCUUCUGAGCUUCAGUUUACACCAGUGAGAUCCCUGCUGCCGAGACGAGAGUCGGACGGGAUUGCUGCGGGGAGGCAGGAUUGGAUUGCCACGGUUAAUCCACUUUAAGGAGAUACUGUCAACGUGAAAUACAACUUCAGUUAUCUUCUGCAAAGCGAUUUUGGCAUUGGGGUCUCACUUACAGUCUCGCUCUGCUUGCGUCCCGUUAGUGGGAAGGCUGCGGAAGCACAGGGGGUGCCCGUGAUGGCACCCAGGGGAGGUCUGGGUCCGUCUCCACGCACAGUGGGGUGAGCGCGGCAGGUCUGUGAGCAGCAGCAGCUUCCUCCCAGCGCGCCUGGAGGUUGGAAGCGCAGGUCCCUGUGUGGUUGGAUCAAAGAUAACGUGCUUUUCUCUUAAUUACCUUCCCUGGAUUCUUCUGAAGUCGCAGGCAGCCAUACCUCCGGGCCACAGCUAUGAGGCUGUGGCUGGCAGGCAGGGAAUCUGGAUCGCCGGUGUGGCGGGGUUAGCACAGCUUUGAACCUUGGAAGAACAAAUGAAGAAACCCAGACAGAGAAAUUACUCAUGACCCUGUUGUUUUUGGCUCUCGGAACACUUGCUUUUGUUUAAGAAGGACUCCCUUGUGCAGCCAAACCAAUUUUAUCGUGUCUUUGUCUUCCUGCAGGUUGGUGAUGAUAAUGUCUCACCUGCCUCCUCCCUGGGUCUCGGCCCUGCCUCUGCCACGUGGCCGCUAGCAGCCCGCGGCUCGGGAAAGGCAGCCUGUCCCUCGCGUGUCCCUGGUGCAGUGCCUCGGGCCAGGCCGCUGCUUGUUAUUGGGGAGGGAAGGUAACCAAAGCAAAGGGGGUUUGCUUUGUGCAGCCCUUGUAGCAGGCUGUUAGUUCUUAUUUGCGUGCAUAGCGCUGCUUUCAUGUGAAGGUUUUCCAUCUGGGGCUCGUUUUAUUUAAUUACAAAAUCGCGUGCAGACCCGCUGCGGAGCGGGGACGCAGAGGACGGGCGUGCAGAAGCCGGGCUCUUGUCACCCACGGCUGCCAGCCCGCUCCCCUCCGUGCAGCCCUGGCUGUGCUCCACCACCCGCUCUGCGUCCCCCGGGCUGAGUUUUGCCCGCCGCUGG
This 1729-nucleotide long non-coding RNA is filed under the name Anser brachyrhynchus (Pink-footed goose). Its description in RNAcentral is "lncRNA (ENSABRG00000011895.1)". Lineage: Eukaryota; Metazoa; Chordata; Aves; Anseriformes; Anatidae. The record is from RNAcentral.